Non-coding RNA from Doryrhamphus excisus (bluestripe pipefish), 3107 nucleotides. The record is from RefSeq and is a predicted model, not a curated record. Lineage: Eukaryota; Metazoa; Chordata; Actinopteri; Syngnathiformes; Syngnathidae.
CUUAAUCCAAUGUACAAUGUGUUUGACUGGGAGAUCCCUUAAACACUCCCACACUCUCCUUACUGUGAGGCCCCUCGGAGCUGGAGACUCAGGACGAGUGCUGGUGUUUAUGUGGAGUUGCCUCACUGGGAAAAGCUGGUGUGUGUCAGAAGGAAGACAGACGGCGUUGAUGGUGCAUUCCCACGAAGAGCAAAAAUUACUGUGAGACGAGGACCUUCAGUCAUGAGGGAUAACCCCCUGGAACAUGUCCACAUCUACCGUUUGACACCCCUGCACAACCUGAAGCUCCAUUGUACCAUUGAAGGAAAAAGGAACCCAGAUCAUGGUGAAGCACUCUCCACUAUACCAUGUAGAAAACAUCUCAGGUGAGAUCACAACAGUCAAUGUGACAUUUUUUGUCAUCAGAUAUUAGAACUUUCUUAAACCUUUCGAAGGUCCCAUGUUUGGUGCAAAUUCCAAACAGGAAUUUUGUGGCAUUGAAAAAGACGAGCCUUUUUAAGAUGUUUAAUUGUUCUUACAACCCUUCUGAUGGUGAUUAGACUCCACUAAGAACCAGAAACAACCUUCAUUUGGGCAAGAGCUCCUCCAGCUCAGGGUGGGUGACAUUUUUGGGGUCUAUAUUCUAUAACCCUCAGGAUCUUUAAAAAAAAAAAAAAAACUUAAAAUGUCUUACUGCAUCAUAUAGCUCAACAUUCUGACAGCGUUCAAAGAGAGAACGCUUUUUUCCUAUAGUAGCUCUCCUUAACGUCCACUAGUGCAAAAUGGAAAUUCUUGCAAUUUUUCAACUGAUUAUAAAAAUGAAUAGCAGUGUAUAUCUAAAGGACAUAGCUUUUUCUUCUAUUUACAAUGGCCACAGGCCUUAAAAAAAAAGCACCAUGAGCUACAGGUGGAAUAGUGCAGCCUAGUGGAGAGCUUUUGUUCUACAACUAUUAUACAAAAAAAUGCUGUUGAGUUUGACAUACUUAAUAUAUAAAGCCAUGUAUACACUAUGCGACAUGCUGUGCCAUUCCAAUCUUUAUUCAGCAUUCUAUUGACAAAAUGUGCCUUCAGAUAUCAUGCAACAAGGCCACAAAUUUCCAUCGCCAGUGGUUCAAAAAAUUGAUACAAAUUACAACCCAAUGACGUGUAGUCACAUCAUGAACAAAGUUAGAAGUCUGGAAUGCAGGAAGUGGCAAACAGAAGUGUGAAGAAGUGAAAAGACAAGUGCCCAGUAAGAGCUUUAUUAAAACACCACUUUUUGACCAUGGGAAUGCCACAAAAGCAAGUUAAAACAAACUGAAGCACCAGGAAAAGAAUAACCAAAAAACAAAAGAGCUUCUUUGAAGCCACUUUUAAAAAAAUACCCCAGGUGAGUAAAUGCAAGCUGGAACCAUACAAACUUCUACAGGUGUUCUACACUAAAGACAAUGAAAUCACGCGAUGCAGACGUCGUCCUGAGAUGGCACAACUUCUAGGACACCCCCGUUAUACGGUCUUCUGCUGGCCCUUCUUUCCAAUCAGAGAUUUGUGGAUGUGCGGAAUCACACCUGCAAAGCCACAAAGUCGGUGAAGAUGAUGCAGAAAUUUCAUCUUCAAAAGAUGACAUAAAAAAAUGUUGGUGCCGAGCAGCUUACCUCCACCGGCAAUGGUGGCCUUGAUGAGUGAAUCCAGCUCCUCGUCUCCUCUAAUAGCCAGCUGCAAGUGGCGAGGAGUGAUACGCUUCACUUUAAGAUCUUUGGAAGCAUUUCCUGCCAGCUCCAGCACCUAAAAACCACACAUUACUUAUAAACAGAACAAGACUAGAGGUAAAAUUCAAGUCAUAGACAUUUAUUUACCUCAGCAGUGAGGUACUCAAGAAUGGCGGCACUAUACACAGCUGCAGUGGCUCCAACUCUGCCGUGGCUGGUGGUUCUGGACUUGAGGUGUCUGUGGAUACGACCCACUGGGAACUACGAGAACAAAAGAUUGUUUACGGCCUUCGGUAUAGGAUAAAAUUGUGUUUGUUAGCUUGGCUGAGCCACUCUGAAUGAAUAAGCAUGAAGAGGAAGCAGACAACCAACCUGCAGCCCAGCUCGCUGCGAGCGCGAAAUAGCCUUCGUCUUGGUCUUUCCGGAGUCUUUGCCCGCCUUGCCACCAGCCUAAACAACAAACAGCCAUUCAUUCGUCGAAACUAAUUAAAUAACGCUAGACCAUUUUUUAAAAAUAAAAAUCAAUCACCAUUUUAAGUUACAGACACAUUCUACAUUUAAAUCGUCUAAUUACAGAAUCAAAGCAAGCGAGGGUUGAGCUAGCCAACAUGCUAAGCUAAGCUAACAACGAUCGCUUGCAACAGUAACAUCUGCGAUGCGUCGCAGCGGCCAAAGUAGAAAGCAACGGCCUUCACUCAAACGUAAAUACAGUCCGGUGACUCACCAACCUAUUAAGAUAAGCUUACCAUGUUUGAAUCUUCGAAUAGUUUCGGCCGCUGUAGCACAAAAAGCUGAAAGCUAACUGCAACACAUCGACUGAUGGUUUGAACUACAAUCCCCGCCUACAAUUGUCCUUGAUAAUAUACCCGAGAUACAUCCGGGACUCUGCCGGGAGACAACCAGCCAGUCAUGUUCCACUAUGUGGGUAUUUGGCUCGGCGAUCAACCAAUCAAAGACAAAAGAUUAGUUUUGCGGGAAAAUGGGACUCUUUUCCGCUCUACGCCAUCAUGGGUAAUGUAGUACCAACACGGAGGUCCUUUGUAUUGCCCCAACAAUAACAAACGGAACCGUUGCUGUCCGACGACGUCGUCAUAAACUGAAGUUAAUAUGUGCAAUAGCUUCCAUUUGUGGACGCGUACGGUAUACAGGCAGUAUUUGACAGAGAACAAUCAUAAUUCAUGGAUAAAAAGCUCAGUAAUAUUAAACACUGGAGUUGUACAUCUCGAAUCAAAUAUUUUACAUUGAUAUCCACCCAUUUUUUCCACAGUCAAUUAACAACAUUGUGCAACUACUUCUUAUUUAACAUUUUACUUAAAACAACACAUUUUAAUUGAAUAAUUUUAUGUUUAAACACAUAUUUAGUUACUGUUUUUGAUUUGUUGCUAUAAUAAAAUAAAAUUAUAAACAAUUGACAGUACUGCCUGGUAGCAAAUGUCUGUU